GGUGCGGUGCGGGCCGCGCCCGGCCGCCCCCUCCCGCCUCGCAGCUGGGUGGGAGCCCGGCGGCGGAGCGGCUGCCCGGGGCGGCCGGGGAUUGGGCGAGCGGCCGUUCCCACGGCGCGCAGAUGCGUCGUCUCGGCCCCGCUGGAAGGUGCGUCCCGCCAGGCAGCGGCGCCAGGCGCGGGUCCCUCGCUUGGGAUCGUUGUUGCACGCUUCUGAAUUCCAGUGCCUAGCACGCGCCGCACAGCUCACACGGGAAACUUGGAAACCAACCUCAUAAGCUCCGCCAGACCUGUAGCUCCAGAUAAAGACAGCGAAAGGAAGGCAGGAAGGCACCCGCGGUGUUACUCACUUCCUCAAAGGCAGCUCAGCCAGAAGCUGCCCAACUAUCGCCGCCCCUUAGUCCAGCCAAACACCUCAAGCAUCUCUCCGGUGUUUUAAAAACACUUAAACCUGCACAAUUUAUAGAGUUAAUUCACUGUCAACAAGUACGUGCUGGUGGGUAAGUAGGUGAAGCAUACACCUGGUAUUCGGUGAGACAAGAAAAAUACCUUCAAGUACGUGAUGCUGCAAGUCUUGCUUAAAAGCUGAACCACUCCACAGGUUAGCCUGAAACAGCAAUAAAUACCAGGCAGCUAUACCUACCCAAUAUCCCGCCUAAUUUAUAACGUGAAAGUAUAAUUAAAAAUUAGUUUUUACUCAAACUUUCCUCCCACGUUUAAAAAAAAAAAUAAUGAAACUUUCUGAAAAAAUAAUUUUAGUAAAAUAAAAUACCUUUUAAAAUGAAAA
Molecule: long non-coding RNA, 786 nt
Organism: Apus apus (common swift)
Lineage: Eukaryota; Metazoa; Chordata; Aves; Apodiformes; Apodidae
Exons: 2
Source: RefSeq, a predicted model, not a curated record